AAAAACAUAAAUCAAGAAAAAUUGCAAGGGAGAGUCGUAAGGAAGCCCUACCGUAGUGGCGUCGAUCUGCCCUUCGCCGACGGCUCCACCGCCUCCUCCUCUCGGAGCCGGACCACCCGAUCUCACCUCCUACGCGGCCGUGCGUUUUCUCUCUACGCCUUCCUGUCUCAUCUAAGUCUCUUGCGCACCCCGCUGCCGUGAUCCGCUCCCGAACCCUUCCUAAGCCUGGGGCCUCCCUUCGAUCGCUUCGGCCGAAGCCUGUCUUGCGCUGUUGAUGCUCCUUUCGCAGUCGCGAACGAUGUCCACUGCCCUCUCGAAAUCCUCGGGAGACUUGAGUAAUAUCGCUCACCUCCUAGGUGAUUAUCAUUGAACUUUUGAGAUUGUUGGCCUUAUUGUGGAAGUUAAAUGGUUCGUGAAGAAAGAGAUGAUAAAGGGUAACCAUAGAGGAAGUAACUAAUUUAUCCCUGCGUACUGGUUCAUCAUCAUAUGCUGGAUGGAAGAUUUUAAUUUUGCUGUUGGGCGGCAAUUCCCUGAUGUCAAAACUUUUAGGAAGGCGAUAAAAGAAGCUGCUAUUGCACAACAUUUUGAACUUAAGAUUAUAAAGAGUGAUCUGAUUCGCUACUUUGCCAAGUGUGCCAAGGAAGGUUGUCCAUGGCGAAUUCGUGCUGUAAAGCUGCCAAAUGUACCAACUUUCACCAUAAGAAGCAUUGAAGGGACACAUACUUGUGGCAAAGAUGCACAGCUAAGUCGUAAUCAGGCAUCUGUUGACUGGAUUGUCAAUCUCAUAGAGGAGCGGCUACGAAGCAAUGUUAAUUACAGGCCAAAGGACAUACUUCAAGACAUUCAGAAACAGUAUGGGAUUAGUAUUCCAUACAAGCAAGCUUGGAGAGCGAAAGAAAGAGGUCUGACUGCCAUAUAUGGAUCCUCUGAAGAGGGUUACAGUCUUCUUCCAGCAUACUGUGAGCAGAUAAAGCUAAGAAACCCUGGAAGUGUUGCUCAAGUAUUUACUACAGGUUCGGACCAUCGUUUCCAGAAAAUUUUUGUUUCGUUUAAUGCAUCAAUUCAUGGCUUUUUGAAUGGUUGUUUGCCCAUCAUUAGCCUUGGUGGAAUUGAACUCAGAAGUAAGUAUCUUGGCACGCUGCUUUCUGUGACAUCAUUUGAUGCUAAUGGUGGAAUGUUUCCAGUUGCUUUUGGUAUUGUUGAUAUGGAGACAGAUGAGAGUUGGAUGUGGUUCUUGUCAGAGUUCCAUAAACUACUAGAUACGAGCACUGAAACCAGACCUCAGCUUAUUGUACUAUCCAAUGGACAGACAGUUGUUACUGAAGCUGUGAGAAGAAAAUUUGCUACUGCAUGCCAGGGAAUAUGCAUGCGACACUUAACAGAAAGCAUGAACAAAGAAUUCAAGAACUCAAGGCUUGUUCAUCUUCUUUGGAAGGCAGCUUAUUCUGUCACCACCAGUGGCUUUAGGGACAGGAUGGCAGAAAUUGAAGAAGUCUGUGCAGGAGCAGCCAAAAGGAUUCAGCAAAUUCCAGCUAACCAUUGGGCAGUGGUUUAUCUUGAAGGUCCACGCUAUGGACAUCUUUCUUCAAACAUUGAGGAGUUCAAUAGAUGGAUACUUGAAGCUCGUGAACUACCUGUUAUUCAAGUUAUCGAAAGCAUCCAUGGCAAAUUGAUGAAGGAAUUUAGCGAACGCCAUGAAAAGGGUUUAAAAUGGACGUCUAGACUUGCCCCUGCAGCUGAAAGACACAUUUCGGAAGCCAUUGAGUGGGCUGUUGGAUACCAAGUGCUUCGUUCUGAUGAAGUAGAAUUUGAGGUUCUGUCAGCUGAUUGUUCCAGUAUUGUAAAUAUUGGCAUGCGCUCUUGUUCUUGUCGUGAGUGGCAGUUGCAUGGCAUACCCUGUUCUCACGCUGUUGCAGCCCUCCUGUCAUGUAAGAAAGACAUCUAUGAAUAUACAGAGAAGUACUUCACUGUCACGAAGUAUCGGGAGACAUAUUCUAAGCCAGUGUAUCCAAUUCCAGACAGAAGCGAGUGGAAUAAAGCCACCGAGGGUCAGGCACACAAUGAAAAUCAAGUGGUUCGUCCACCGAAGUUUCGUCGUCCUCCAGGACGCCCUGAAAAGAAACGGCUUUGCAUGGAGGUGAGCAAUCGUGAAAAACAUACCGUGCAUUGUAGUCGGUGUAGCCAAACAGGACACUACAAAAGAACAUGCAAAGCAGAUGUCAUCCAGAAGACAUAACCUGUUGGUAUCUUGAUGGCCAACUGUAUAUCCCAUUAGUUUUGUUGGAGGCAUAUGUAACAUAUCAGGUUUGCCCGAACUGCCAGUUGCGGGGGGUGAUGUGCCAAGAGGUGGAGCGGCGGCCGUCGCUGGCGGUGACCCGGAACGAC
Molecule: RNA transcript, 2385 nt
Organism: Musa acuminata subsp. malaccensis (wild Malaysian banana)
Lineage: Eukaryota; Viridiplantae; Streptophyta; Magnoliopsida; Zingiberales; Musaceae
Source: RefSeq, a predicted model, not a curated record